Molecule: ribosomal RNA, 277 nt
Filed under: uncultured Actinomycetales bacterium
Lineage: Bacteria; Bacillati; Actinomycetota; Actinomycetes; Actinomycetales
Description: partial 16S ribosomal RNA
Rfam family: Bacterial small subunit ribosomal RNA
Source: RNAcentral
GUGCCAGCAGCCGCGGUAAUACGUAGGGUGCAAGCGUUGUCCGGAAUUAUUGGGCGUAAAGAGCUCGUAGGCGGUCUGUCGCGUCGGCUGUGAAAACUCGGGGCUCAACCCCGAGCCUGCAGUCGAUACGGGCAGACUAGAGUGCUGUAGGGGAGACUGGAAUUCCUGGUGUAGCGGUGAAAUGCGCAGAUAUCAGGAGGAACACCGGUGGCGAAGGCGGGUCUCUGGGCAGUAACUGACGCUGAGGAGCGAAAGCGUGGGGAGCGAACAGGAUUAG